GUUGUAGCUUAGCUGGUUAAAGCGCCAGAUUGUGGCUCUGGAGACCGUGGGUUCGAGUCCCAUCU
RNAcentral lists this transfer RNA (65 nucleotides) under pig gut metagenome. It matches the Rfam family "tRNA", at positions 7 to 64 of the family's 71-position model. From Rfam's summary of the family: Transfer RNA (tRNA) molecules are approximately 80 nucleotides in length. Their secondary structure includes four short double-helical elements and three loops (D, anti-codon, and T loops). The record is from RNAcentral.